Hemiscyllium ocellatum (epaulette shark) is the source of this 302-nucleotide long non-coding RNA. RefSeq lists it as uncharacterized. The record is from RefSeq and is a predicted model, not a curated record. The transcript has 3 exons. Lineage: Eukaryota; Metazoa; Chordata; Chondrichthyes; Orectolobiformes; Hemiscylliidae.
AAGGCGGUUGGGAGGAGAAGUCGCUCGAGCGAGGAAGCGGCGGGAGGGCGGCCGUUAGGAAAAUGGCGCCGUGCGGCCCGGGGCAGACACCGGGCCACCAGAAGCCUUCUCAGUACUCUACAAGUGACUUCACCAACAUCCUGUACAACUUCAACAUGAUGUCCCAACUCCUUUAUUCAAUGGUGUGAACAAUUAAGCUACCCGAUGAAGGAGCAGCGCUCCGAAAGCUAGUGCUUCCAAAUAAAACUGUUAGACUAUAACCCGGUGUUGUGAUUUUUAAACCAUGUCCCACCUAGUCCGAC